UUACGGCCAUAUAGUGUUGAAACACCGGUUCCCGUUCGAUCGCCGAAUUUAAACGACGUCGAACCUGGUCAGUAACUAGAAGGGUGACUUCUCGGGAACACCAGGUGCUGUAA
Acanthosepion pharaonis is the source of this 113-nucleotide non-coding RNA. The record is from the annotation of a GenBank genome assembly. Lineage: Eukaryota; Metazoa; Mollusca; Cephalopoda; Sepiida; Sepiidae.